CCUACGGGGAGGCAGCAGUGGGGAAUAUUGCACAAUGGGCGCAAGCCUGAUGCAGCAACGCCGCGUGAGGGACGAAGGCCUUCGGGUUGUAAACCUCUUUUAGCAGGGAAGAAGCGAAAGUGACGGUACCUGCAGAAAAAGCACCGGCUAACUACGUGCCAGCAGCCGCGGUAAUACGUAGGGUGCAAGCGUUGUCCGGAAUUAUUGGGCGUAAAGAGCUCGUAGGCGGUUUGUCACGUCUGCUGUGAAAAUUCGAGGCUCAACCUCGAACUUGCAGUGGGUACGGGCAGGCUAGAGUGCGGUAGGGGAGAUGGGAAUUCCUGGUGUAGCGGUGGAAUGCGCAGAUAUCAGGAGGAACACCAAUGGCGAAGGCACAUCUCUGGGCCGUAACUGACGCUGAGGAGCGAAAGCAUGGGGAGCAAACAGGAUUAGAUACCCUGGUAGUCCACGCCGUAAACGGUGGGUGCUAGAUGUGGGCCACAUUCCAC
This 488-nucleotide ribosomal RNA is filed under the name uncultured bacterium. RNAcentral's name for it is "bacterial SSU rRNA". It matches the Rfam family "Bacterial small subunit ribosomal RNA", at positions 338 to 837 of the family's 1533-position model. The record is from RNAcentral.